UACAGUGAUGACCAACUGUCGCCCCAAGCGGAAAUAUAAUGACAGAUUCGACACUUAGCCAAACACUGAAAAUUCUGAUC
Molecule: small nucleolar RNA, 80 nt
Filed under: Pichia kudriavzevii
Lineage: Eukaryota; Fungi; Ascomycota; Pichiomycetes; Pichiales; Pichiaceae
Source: RNAcentral